Molecule: long non-coding RNA, 306 nt
Filed under: Mytilus galloprovincialis (Mediterranean mussel)
Lineage: Eukaryota; Metazoa; Mollusca; Bivalvia; Mytilida; Mytilidae
Source: RNAcentral
AAACAGCUAUAGUGUUCAGCAAAGUCAGAUCUACAAAUAAGUCAACAUGACCAUAAUGGUCAAUUGACUCCAUAUGGCUCUAACCAUUGAGGAAUUAGGGGCAAAAAAGGGAGAACAACUAGAUUUGUCUGGUUAAAGGACAAUAAAGACAAUUUAAAAGCAUUGUAAGGGAGGUAAUCCAAAUACAUUAAAAUACAAUGGUGUUUAUGUUUGGAUUUACCUCCCUUUCACUACUUGUACAAAAAGAAUAAAGCAAUGCUAGGUUUUGGACUAUUUGCCAAAAAGGAGAGGGGUUUGUAGUGGGGG